GGGUUGUGAGGUUAAGCGACUAAGCGUACACGGUGGAUGCCCAGGCAGUCAGAGGCGAUGAAGGACGUGCUAAUCUGCGUAAAGCGACGGUAAGG
This 95-nucleotide ribosomal RNA is filed under the name Pantoea agglomerans. RNAcentral's name for it is "partial 23S ribosomal RNA". It matches the Rfam family "Bacterial large subunit ribosomal RNA", at positions 1 to 86 of the family's 2925-position model. Lineage: Bacteria; Pseudomonadati; Pseudomonadota; Gammaproteobacteria; Enterobacterales; Erwiniaceae. The record is from RNAcentral.